GCCGGCCGCCAGAGCGGCACUGGGUCCACGACGCGUGGGAGGUGACGCCUGAGAGGAGUGUGCCGGGGACACCGCGCUGGCCGCUGCUGUCUCGCCAGCCAGACGGAUCGACUCCAGACGGCGCCGUGGUGGAGCCGCUAAUCGCCGCCGCCCAGCACUACGCGCGCGUCUGCAGGCUUGUCGCCAUCAUGAGCAGCAUCAGCAGGGUGCCGUUACUCUUUGCACACGCCGCUGCUAUGUCGGCUAUUCUUCUCUCUUCAUAUUACAUGAUCGCUGCAGCGAACGGCCCACCAUCAGAGGGCAAGCUGGCGAAGGUGGUGGGUCCCUGCACCUAUGUAAGCCUCUUCCUUUUCCGCAUCGUUUGGAUGUCUAUGGACGGCACCUUCAUGAUCGAAAAGAACGCUGCACUAACGGACUCACUGAUGGAUAUGAAUUGGCUAGUAAUGACGCAG
Molecule: long non-coding RNA, 452 nt
Organism: Pollicipes pollicipes
Lineage: Eukaryota; Metazoa; Arthropoda; Thecostraca; Pollicipedomorpha; Pollicipedidae
Exons: 4
Source: RefSeq, a predicted model, not a curated record